Molecule: transfer RNA, 70 nt
Filed under: Capra hircus (goat)
Lineage: Eukaryota; Metazoa; Chordata; Mammalia; Artiodactyla; Bovidae
Also listed under: 1 other name
Rfam family: tRNA
About the family: Transfer RNA (tRNA) molecules are approximately 80 nucleotides in length. Their secondary structure includes four short double-helical elements and three loops (D, anti-codon, and T loops).
Source: Rfam by way of RNAcentral
CCCUGGAAGCUCAGAUGUAAAGCAUCUGCCUGCAAUGCAGGAGACCUGGGUUUGAUCCCUGGUUCAGGAA